Molecule: ribosomal RNA, 253 nt
Filed under: uncultured bacterium
Lineage: Bacteria
Description: partial 16S ribosomal RNA
Rfam family: Bacterial small subunit ribosomal RNA
Source: RNAcentral
UACGGAGGGUGCAAACGUUGCUCGGAAUCACUGGGCGUAAAGCGCACGUAGGCGGCCUCGUAAGUUGGGUGUGAAAGCCCUGGGCUCAACCCAGGAAGUGCAUCCAAAACUGCAUGGCUUGAGUACCGGAGGGGUUCAGAGAAUUCCUGGUGUAGAGGUGAAAUUCGUAGAUAUCAGGAGGAAUACCAGUGGCGAAGGCGCUGAACUGGACGGUAACUGACGCUGAGGUGCGAAAGCGUGGGUAGCAAACAGG